UGUGCAUCAUAAUUGUGUGUAUUCUGAAUAUAUAAAUUGCUAGCCAUGAAAUUAGCAAGACGGAAAAAGGCCAUUUUGUUCCAAAAAUGUUCAAAAAGGUCUUUGCUUCCAAUUAAACAUAAUAUUAUUAAACAUAAUACAUUAAAUGAGAUGAACUGGAAUUGACACAGUGGAAAUGAUCAUGACUUAAAAAUAAUAUAAAAUAAAGACAGAAUACUCCUGUGGUUCAUAUAUACACACUGUUGGACAUUAUUAUUAGACAAAUGAAAUAAACUAGUGAAAAUGAGAAAAGCAUAUGUUUUAAGAAUGUUUACUUUCUAAACUUCACCAGAGCCAAAACUGCCCAUAUAAUAAUCACCCAGGUGUAUAUAAUGGGAUGUCUGUAAAUGAGAUGGUUUUUUUUUUUGUACAACACUAUCAUUGUACAUCACAGAGAAGUAUCUGCACAUCCCCCACUUCCUUCUGUGCGUGUCAAACGAGAGUUUGAGGUUUGGGUUGUCUAGACAACCAAGUCCAUCUCGUGUACAUCAUGUUCAGAGAAAUAAAAGAGCGGCCUCCUGUUUAUCAAACUACCAAAUACUCAGGGGAGACUGGGACAAAAGUGUUUAAAUUCAAGCAUCUGAGGAAAGUGACACCGAAGAAAGAGUGUCUGAUAUUACAUUUUCCUUUGAUAAUCUCAUAAUAUGUUUAAUCCUGUAUGCAUAUAAUAUUUCAAAAGAUCUACAACUGUUUUACUUAUCAGCAUCUUACUGUAAAACAAUGCCAAAUUAGCCAUGAUUUUAAAUUAAACUCAUAUGACAUUUAUAUGACACAAUACCACACCCUCAUAAGUAUAUGUAAUAAGCUGAUGAAACAGUGUGGUUUUGCACAACAUAGCAACCACCCCUCCCCCCCAGGAAAGAGCUCUACAAGUGCCGCAAGCAAGAUAAUGCUUCAAACAUUCAAGUUAUUACGAAACUAUUCAUAAAAACACACACAAAACAAGUGUAACAUCUUCCACCGGUGAUAUCUGCUCACAUACCAACCCCGCUGUUAUUUAAAACUGAUGGAAUAUCAUGUUUUUAAAGCCCCACCAUCAGAUGUGGAAGCCUGAUGCAAUCUGAUCACAUGUUUAGUAGACUUCCUCUUUAAUUCUUUGUGUGAUUUUUAUGUAUGCUAAAGACCGAGGGCUUUUUCUCUCAUUUCUGAUCUGUCUUUUAUCAGUUAAAAUGCCCUUAAAAGGAAUUGAUUCGAGUCCAUCUUUGAACGAAACUAGUCCAAUAGGCGCGCAUUCGUGCUUCUUUAAGACAGCGACUGCAGGGCCUCUUCCUGUGGUUUGCACCAUGUGGCCUAAAAAGUGUUAAAAGGCGACAACUUCUUUCUCUUUUCGCUGUUGUUUCCGGGAUCAAGCAGGCAGAGAACUGGUUUAACAAAUAGUUGUAAAACGAGCAUUUGGAGCACAUGGAGAUAAGAGGAAGCGUGCAAAGAAACGAUUGGAGCGCGAAGAGGCGGGAACAUCAGAGGUACAGUGCAGUCACUCAUAAAGUAGACAGCACUACUAAAGGUCUCUACACAGUGUAGUGUUUCCUACUUUAUGGAUGAGUGUACUGUUGGCUGCGAUGGAUGAUCUUAUGGAGAACCAAAGAUGCUGAAUCUGAAUGUCUUGUGAAUUACGUAUUAAUAACGAUUGUGUUCCAUGACUAACUGUAAUGCAGUAAUGUUUUUUUGAAUGCAUUCGUCUUUAUAUUUGCAUGUUAACUUGUAUCAAACAACUCUGAAUUCAUUAAACAGUAAUAAAAUGAAGCUGAACUGCA
Molecule: long non-coding RNA, 1793 nt
Organism: Sinocyclocheilus grahami
Lineage: Eukaryota; Metazoa; Chordata; Actinopteri; Cypriniformes; Cyprinidae
Exons: 2
Source: RefSeq, a predicted model, not a curated record